RNAcentral lists this unclassified non-coding RNA (262 nucleotides) under Verticillium sp. RNAcentral's name for it is "partial contains 5.8S ribosomal RNA, internal transcribed spacer 2, and large subunit ribosomal RNA". Lineage: Eukaryota; Fungi; Ascomycota; Sordariomycetes; Glomerellales; Plectosphaerellaceae. The record is from RNAcentral.
CGCACAUUGCGCCCGCCAGCAUUCUGGCGGGCAUGCCUGUUCGAGCGUCAUUUCAACCCUCGAUUUCCCUUUGGGGAAGUCGGCCGUUGGAGAUCGGGGGUCGCAAGACCCACCGGCUCCCAAAUUGAGUGGCGGCCCGUCCGCGGCGACCUCUGCGUAGUAACUCAACUCGUAUUGGAGACCCGACGUUUGGCCAUGCCGUAAAACAACCCAAUUUCUGAAUGUUGACCUCGGAUCAGGUAGGAAUACCCGCUGAACUUAA